Molecule: ribosomal RNA, 986 nt
Filed under: seawater metagenome
Description: bacterial LSU rRNA
Rfam family: Bacterial large subunit ribosomal RNA
Source: RNAcentral
ACGGUCCUAAGGUAGCGAAAUUCCUUGUCGGGUAAGUUCCGACCUGCACGAAUGGCGUAACGAUGGGGGCGCUGUCUCUACCCGAGACUCAGUGAAAUUGAAAUCGCCGUGAAGAUGCGGUGUAUCCGCGGCUAGACGGAAAGACCCCGUGAACCUUUACUAUAGCUUCACAGUGAACUUUGAGCAUGUUUGUGUAGGAUAGCUGGGAGGCUUUGAAACCAGGACGCCAGUUCUGGUGGAGCCAACCUUGAAAUACCAGCCUGACCUGUUUGAGGUUCUAACUUCGACCCCUUAUCGGGGUUAAGGACACUGUGUGGUGGGUAGUUUGACUGGGGCGGUCUCCUCCCAAAGCGUAACGGAGGAGCACAAAGGUGGGCUAAGCAUGGUCGGACAUCAUGCGGUUAGUGUAAUGGCACAAGCCCGCUUAACUGCGAGACAGACACGUCGAGCAGGUACGAAAGUAGGUCAUAGUGAUCCGGUGGUUCUGUAUGGAAGGGCCAUCGCUCAACGGAUAAAAGGUACUCCGGGGAUAACAGGCUGAUACCGCCCAAGAGUUCACAUCGACGGCGGUGUUUGGCACCUCGAUGUCGGCUCAUCACAUCCUGGGGCUGAAGCCGGUCCCAAGGGUAUGGCUGUUCGCCAUUUAAAGUGGUACGCGAGCUGGGUUUAGAACGUCGUGAGACAGUUCGGUCCCUAUCUGCCGUGGGCGCAGGAGAUUUGAGAAGAGUUGCUCCUAGUACGAGAGGACCGGAGUGAACGAACCUCUGGUGUUCGGGUUGUUACGCCAGUAGCAUUGCCCGGUAGCUACGUUCGGACAGGAUAACCGCUGAAAGCAUCUAAGCGGGAAGCCUCCUUCGAGACGAGAUCUCCCUUAGGACUUGAUCCUACUAAAGUGCCGUUCAAGACUAGGACGUUGAUAGGCUGGGUGUGUAAGUGCAGCGAUGCAUUGAGCUAACCAGUACUAAUUGCACGUGAGGCUUGACCAU